GAUGAACGCUGGCGGCGUGCCUAAUACAUGCAAGUCGAGCGAACGGACGAGAAGCUUGCUUCUCUGAUGUUAGCGGCGGACGGGUGAGUAACACGUGGAUAACCUACCUAUAAGACUGGGAUAACUUCGGGAAACCGGAGCUAAUACCGGAUAAUAUUUUGAACCGCAUGGUUCAAAAGUAAAAGACGGUCUUGCUGUCACUUAUAGAUGGAUCCGCGCUGCAUUAGCUAGUUGGUAAGGUAACGGCUUACCAAGGCAACGAUGCAUAGCCGACCUGAGAGGGUGAUCGGCCACACUGGAACUGAGACACGGUCCAGACUCCUACGGGAGGCAGCAGUAGGGAAUCUUCCGCAAUGGGCGAAAGCCUGACGGAGCAACGCCGCGUGAGUGAUGAAGGUCUUCGGAUCGUAAAGCUCUGUUAUUGGGGAAGAACAUAUGUGUAAGUAACUGUGCACAUCUUGACGGUACCUAAUCAGAAAGCCACGGCUAACUACGUG
This 497-nucleotide ribosomal RNA is filed under the name uncultured bacterium. Its description in RNAcentral is "partial 16S ribosomal RNA". It matches the Rfam family "Bacterial small subunit ribosomal RNA", at positions 28 to 507 of the family's 1533-position model. The record is from RNAcentral.